RNAcentral lists this ribosomal RNA (776 nucleotides) under uncultured Neocallimastigales. Its description in RNAcentral is "partial large subunit ribosomal RNA". It matches the Rfam family "Eukaryotic large subunit ribosomal RNA", at positions 26 to 644 of the family's 3401-position model. The record is from RNAcentral. Lineage: Eukaryota; Fungi; Neocallimastigomycota; Neocallimastigomycetes; Neocallimastigales.
CGUCUAUAUACGUAUAGCAUAUCAAUAAGCGGAGGAAAAGAAACUAACUAGGAUUCCCUCAGUAACGGCGAGUGAAGCGGGAAGAGCUCAAAUUUGAAAUCUUCAAGGUUCUACCUUGACGAAUUGUAGUUUAAAGAAGUGUUUUCUGUUGGAGUUUUGGUAAAAGUUCUUUGGAAUAGGACAUCAUAGAGGGUGAGAAUCCCGUAUUUGACCAUUAUUUCCAACUUUGUGAUACACUUUCAAAGAGUCGGAUUGUUUGGGAAUGCAGUCCAAAAUGGGUGGUAAAUUUCAUCUAAAGCUAAAUACUGGCGAGAGACCGAUAGCGAACAAGUACUGUGAGGGAAAGAUGAAAAGAACUUUGAAAAGAGAGUUAAACAGUACGUGAAAUUGUCAAAAGGGAAGCGUUUGACACCAGUGUUGUUUUCUCGAAAAUCAAUUAAAAAUGGUGGGAUUUUGUGAUGUAUUGACUUUAUCAGCUUUCUGCACUUUUUUUCCUAUCUUUUUUAAUGCACUUUUCGUUUAACAAGUCAACAUCAAUUUCUUUUGUUGUAAAAGAGGUCAUUGGAAGGUGGCUUUCUUUUCGGAGAAAGUGUUUAUAGCCUUUGACUUCUGCAAUCGGAGAGAUUGAGGUCUGCAGCGUAGAUCCUUCGGGGUUAGAUGCAUUUGUGCUAAGUUAUAGCCUUUCAUAGACAACUUGUUGACUAUGAUCAGUCAUGUAGCUUACUCGCUUAUGUCAUUUUACCUACGCUUAGGAUGUUGACACACGCGCGUGCUCG